Molecule: long non-coding RNA, 1215 nt
Organism: Serinus canaria (Common canary)
Lineage: Eukaryota; Metazoa; Chordata; Aves; Passeriformes; Fringillidae
Exons: 3
Source: RefSeq, a predicted model, not a curated record
GCCGGCCCCGCACCGGGGCCCCGCACACCUUUGUGAGACCCCCGCCAGCAAAAGCGGCUGUUUAGCAAAACAAAAGGACUCCCGUAAUCUACUUAUUGUGCCUCAUUAGGAUUGCGGGCGCCCUCUUCUAAUGGGAAAGUUAUAGGAUCAAGCCGGCGGCGCGCUGCGGGGUUGCCGCGCCGGUAAUAAAGACAUUUUUUUCCCCGUUCAUGUCCAAGCAUGACAAGACACAGCGGCUCGCUCCCGAGAAGCCACUUGACAUCUUCAUUGUUCUACCUUCGCCGCUCAACACUUUUUUCCACCGUUUCUUGGGGUUUGGUGGAAGUCCAGGAUAAUUUCAUCAGCCCAGUGGAGCUGUACCCAGAGAGGCCAUGCCAUUUUAUGGCUGCAGUUCCUGCCUGUGCAAAUCACUGUGAUUCAUGCUGUGCCUUGGAAAUGCAGUGGACGUGCUGAAGGCCACUGAAGCCACGUCAUCCCAGAAAAAACCCCAAAUGGCCUCUGCAUUGGUCACUCACUCUUUCUAGUGGUGGCUCUGAGCACAGUGCAGGAAGGACAGAGAAGGGUUGAUUCCCCUCCACCACGCUGAGCUCCUGAAACCCCAGGCAAAGCUGAUUUCUCGGGAAGCGGAGGUGAAGAAAAGUUAAUUUACCUGCUCAGAAAUGCUGCUUUGUUCUCUAACAAUGGUCCCCAGCCCUUGAGAAACAUGACAGCACUCUGAAGAGGAUGGGGAGCUGUCUUACUGUAAGUUGGGGUUUACCUAGUCCAGGGUCUCACACUUCAAAUGCUGUUUUGGGGGUUCAUUGAGGCUCUUCCCUGCAGCCAGGUGGCAAAGGGGUCUUUCAUGAGAGGAGUCAAAUAGAGGAUGCAUCAGGAAAGGGCACAGCAAUUCAUGCAGUGACAGCAGCAAUUCACUUCCCUGCUGCCCUUGCAGCUAGGGAAAAUUGCAUCCAAGCUGGCUUCCCCUUGGAGAAGCAGUGGCUUGCCUUGGUGCUGUGGGAAUGGCAGAGAGGAAUGAGCUCAAAGUAGUGGGCUGGGCAGGAUGAGAGGAAAGAGAUCUCUCUGAAGAAGACUGGGACAUGGAGAUAAAAAGGGAAGAGGUGUUCUUUCCAGGACAAGGGGGCUGUGAAUUGUCAUCAAGUUGGGAAGACCUGACUCAGCUCUGCCCAGAAACCUCUCUGCACGAGCUCCCCUCAUGCCAGUGCUCCACAGUGGAUU